Molecule: ribosomal RNA, 465 nt
Filed under: uncultured Klebsiella sp.
Lineage: Bacteria; Pseudomonadati; Pseudomonadota; Gammaproteobacteria; Enterobacterales; Enterobacteriaceae
Description: bacterial SSU rRNA
Rfam family: Bacterial small subunit ribosomal RNA
Source: RNAcentral
CCUACGGGUGGCAGCAGUAGGGAAUAUUGCACAAUGGGCGCAAGCCUGAUGCAGCCAUGCCGCGUGUGUGAAGAAGGCCUUCGGGUUGUAAAGCACUUUCAGCGGGGAGGAAGGCGGUGAGGUUAAUAACCUCAUCGAUUGACGUUACCCGCAGAAGAAGCACCGGCUAACUCCGUGCCAGCAGCCGCGGUAAUACGGAGGGUGCAAGCGUUAAUCGGAAUUACUGGGCGUAAAGCGCACGCAGGCGGUCUGUCAAGUCGGAUGUGAAAUCCCCGGGCUCAACCUGGGAACUGCAUUCGAAACUGGCAGGCCAGAGUCUUGUAGAGGGGGGUAGAAUUCCAGGUGUAGCGGUGAAAUGCGUAGAGAUCUGGAGGAAUACCGGUGGCGAAGGCGGCCCCCUGGACAAAGACUGACGCUCAGGUGCGAAAGCGUGGGGAGCAAACAGGAUUAGAUACCCGGGUAGUC